Molecule: ribosomal RNA, 1239 nt
Filed under: metagenome
Description: bacterial SSU rRNA
Rfam family: Bacterial small subunit ribosomal RNA
Source: RNAcentral
GUAACACGUGUGCAACCAACCCCGUACCGGGAGAUAACCCGCGGAAACGUGGACUAACAUCCCAUGAGACUCGAGAGCCGCAUGGCCCUAGAUUUAAAAUUCCGGUGGUACGGGACGGGCACGCGCGACAUUAGGUAGUUGGCGGGGUAACGGCCCACCAAGCCGACGAUGUCUAGGGGUUCUGAGAGGAAGGUCCCCCACACUGGAACUGAGACACGGUCCAGACUCCUACGGGAGGCAGCAGUGAGGAAUAUUGGUCAAUGGGCGAGAGCCUGAACCAGCCAAGUCGCGUGAGGGAAGAAUGGUCUAUGGCCUGUAAACCUCUUUUGUCAGGGAAGAAUAAGGAUGACGAGUCAUUCGAUGCCAGUACUUGACGAAUAAGCAUCGGCUAACUCCGUGCCAGCAGCCGCGGUAAUACGGGGGAUGCGAGCGUUAUCCGGAUUUAUUGGGUUUAAAGGGCGCGUAGGCGGGACGGCAAGUCAGCGGUAAAAGACUGCAGCUAAACUGUAGCACGCCGUUGAAACUGUUGACCUCGAGACGAGACGAGGGAGGCGGAACAAGUGAAGUAGCGGUGAAAUGCAUAGAUAUCACUUGGAACCCCGAUAGCGAAGGCAGCUUCCCAGGCUCGUUCUGACGCUGAUGCGCGAGAGCGUGGGUAGCGAACAGGAUUAGAUACCCUGGUAGUCCACGCCGUAAACGAUGCUCACUGGAUCUUGGCGAUACACUGCCAGGGUUCAAGCGAAAGUAUUAAGUGAGCCACCUGGGGAGUACGUCGGCAACGAUGAAACUCAAAGGAAUUGACGGGGGCCCGCACAAGCGGAGGAACAUGUGGUUUAAUUCGAUGAUACGCGAGGAACCUUACCCGGGUUUAAAUGUAGAUUGCAUGAGGUGGAAACGCUUCUUCCCUUCGGGGCUAUUUACAAGGUGCUGCAUGGUUGUCGUCAGCUCGUGCCGUGAGGUGUCGGGUUAAGUCCCAUAACGAGCGCAACCCCUAUCGCCAGUUGCCAUCGGUUGAAGCCGGGCACUCUGUCGAGACUGCCACCGUAAGGUGCGAGGAAGGCGGGGAUGACGUCAAAUCAGCACGGCCCUUACACCCGGGGCGACACACGUGUUACAAUGGCCGGUACAGAGGGCAGCCACGGGGUGACCCGGAGCGAAUCUCUAAAGCCGGUCGUAGUUCGGACUGGAGUCUGCAACCCGACUCCACGAAGUUGGAUUCGCUAGUAAUCGCGCAUCAGC